RNAcentral lists this ribosomal RNA (440 nucleotides) under uncultured bacterium. RNAcentral's name for it is "partial 16S ribosomal RNA". It matches the Rfam family "Bacterial small subunit ribosomal RNA", at positions 338 to 795 of the family's 1533-position model. The record is from RNAcentral.
CCUACGGGAGGCAGCAGUGGGGAAUAUUGCACAAUGGGGGAAACCCUGAUGCAGCGACGCCGCGUGAGGGAAGAAGUAAUUCGUUAUGUAAAGCUCUAUCAGCAGGGAAGAAAAUGACGGUACCUGAUUAAUAAGCCGCGGCUACCUACGUGCCACCAGCCGCGGAAAUACUGAGGGGGCAAGCGUUAUCCGGAUUUACUGGGUGUAGAGGGGGCGUAGGCGGCAGGGCAAUUCUGGAGUGAAAGGCGGGGGCUCAACCCCCGGACUGCACUGGAAACUGUACUGCUGGAGUACAGGAGAGGUAAGCGGAAUUCCUAGUGUAGCGGGGAAAUGCGUAGAUAUCGCGAAGAACACCGGUUGCGAAGGCAGCGUGCCGGACCGACACUGACGCUGAGGCACGAAAGCGCGGGGAUCGAACAGGAUUAGAUACCCGGGUAGUC